RNAcentral lists this ribosomal RNA (363 nucleotides) under uncultured bacterium. RNAcentral's name for it is "bacterial SSU rRNA". It matches the Rfam family "Bacterial small subunit ribosomal RNA", at positions 917 to 1289 of the family's 1533-position model. The record is from RNAcentral.
GGGCCCGCACAAGCGGUGGAGCAUGUGGUUUAAUUCGAUGAUACGCGAGGAACCUUACCAAGGUUUAAAUGUAGAACGAUCGAUGUGGAAACACAUCUUUCUUCGGACGGUCUACAAGGUGCUGCAUGGUUGUCGUCAGCUCGUGCUGUGAAGUGUCGGGUUAAGUCCCAUAACGAGCGCAACCCCUAUCUUUAGUUGCCAGCGAUCGGUCGGGACUCUAAAGAAACUGCCGGCGUAAGCCGCGAGGAAGUGGGAUGACGUCAAUCAUCACGGCCCUUACAUCUUGGGCUACACACGUGCUACAAUGGCGAGGACAACGAGAAGCAAACCGGCGACGGUGAGCAAAUCUAAAAACCUCGUCUC